Brienomyrus brachyistius is the source of this 529-nucleotide long non-coding RNA. RefSeq lists it as uncharacterized. Lineage: Eukaryota; Metazoa; Chordata; Actinopteri; Osteoglossiformes; Mormyridae. The transcript is spliced from 4 exons. The record is from RefSeq and is a predicted model, not a curated record.
CAAAGCGAAACAAACCGUGCAUUUAGUAACGCUGAGUCUCGGACGGUGCAACGGUUUUGAUAAAAUGACUGAGAAGCGAUGGACACGUCGGUGCUUGCUGAUUGCUGGAGCCAUGGCGAAGUUUCUGUGAAGAAAGGCCACUGUAUUCACAGAGGGUAACCCCAUUGUUGAAGCAGGACCACAGAGUCCAUAGACGGCACCCUUGGGCACUUCACCCACCUUCUCUAAGAAGGCUGGAUUCUUCAACCUGCUGCUGCAACAACAGAAUGAGCUUCUGAUCCAGGCAUGACUAGACGAGGGACGAACAGGAUGAAACGCACCUCUUCUGUGGGGAGUGUCACAUACACCCUUUUUGCGAAGCGUCUGCAGGAACAGGAGAUUUUGGAGGCUGUCGAUUUCAUCUGAGCAGGAAGGAGAGACGCCAGUAGGGGGCAGGAUGUCAGUGUCUGCUGUAUAAAUGUGACGAACGGCGCUGACAAAGAGCACUGAGGGUGGUGCAGGACAUGGUGCAGAACGCCUUACCGAUGAA